This is a non-coding RNA of Rattus norvegicus (Norway rat), 69 nucleotides long. The record is from Rfam. NCBI's taxonomy places the organism in Eukaryota, Metazoa, Chordata, Mammalia, Rodentia, Muridae.
GGGGAUUUAGCUCAGUGGUAGAGCGCCUGCCUAGGAAGCGCAAGGCCCUGGGUUCGGUCCCCAGCUCUG